UCUCCGUAGGUGAGCCUGCGGAAGGAUCAUUAACGUACAAAACGUGAGGGCCAUGCGAGGGCCGUCGAUGACCCACAACUCGUGCACGCCCGAGUGUGUCCUCUUCCUUAAUAAUCCAUCCCACCCUUUGCGCAUCACCGCGGGGGCACCCUUCGGGAUCGUCCCGGACUCGGGCUGGCGUUUUCACAUAAACCCCCCUUUUAAAAGUAUAGAAUGACCACAUUUAUGCAUUCUAUUCAACUUUCAACAACGGAUCCCUUCGCUCUCGCCUCCAGGAAA
RNAcentral lists this unclassified non-coding RNA (279 nucleotides) under plant metagenome. RNAcentral's name for it is "partial contains small subunit ribosomal RNA, internal transcribed spacer 1, and 5.8S ribosomal RNA". The record is from RNAcentral.